RNAcentral lists this ribosomal RNA (2926 nucleotides) under Salmonella enterica subsp. enterica serovar Enteritidis str. EC20120963. Its description in RNAcentral is "bacterial LSU rRNA". It matches the Rfam family "Bacterial large subunit ribosomal RNA". Lineage: Bacteria; Pseudomonadati; Pseudomonadota; Gammaproteobacteria; Enterobacterales; Enterobacteriaceae. The record is from RNAcentral.
GGGUUGUGAGGUUAAGCGACUAAGCGUACACGGUGGAUGCCCUGGCAGUCAGAGGCGAUGAAGGGCGUGCUAAUCUGCGAUAAGCGCCGGUAAGGUGAUAUGAACCGUUAUAACCGGCGAUACCCGAAUGGGGAAACCCAGUGUGAUUCGUCACACUAUCAUUAACUGAAUCCAUAGGUUAAUGAGGCGAACCGGGGGAACUGAAACAUCUAAGUACCCCGAGGAAAAGAAAUCAACCGAGAUUCCCCCAGUAGCGGCGAGCGAACGGGGAGGAGCCCAGAGCCUGAAUCAGCAUGUGUGUUAGUGGAAGCGUCUGGAAAGGCGCGCGAUACAGGGUGACAGCCCCGUACACAAAAGCGCAUGUGCUGUGAGCUCGAUGAGUAGGGCGGGACACGUGGUAUCCUGUCUGAAUAUGGGGGGACCAUCCUCCAAGGCUAAAUACUCCUGACUGACCGAUAGUGAACCAGUACCGUGAGGGAAAGGCGAAAAGAACCCCGGCGAGGGGAGUGAAAAAGAACCUGAAACCGUGUACGUACAAGCAGUGGGAGCACCCUUUGGGUGUGACUGCGUACCUUUUGUAUAAUGGGUCAGCGACUUAUAUUCUGUAGCAAGGUUAACCGAAUAGGGGAGCCGGAGGGAAACCGAGUCUUAAUUGGGCGUUAAGUUGCAGGGUAUAGACCCGAAACCCGGUGAUCUAGCCAUGGGCAGGUUGAAGGUUGGGUAACACUAACUGGAGGACCGAACCGACUAAUGUUGAAAAAUUAGCGGAUGACCUGUGGCUGGGGGUGAAAGGCCAAUCAAACCGGGAGAUAGCUGGUUCUCCCCGAAAGCUAUUUAGGUAGCGCCUCGUGAAUUCAUCUCCGGGGGUAGAGCACUGUUUCGGCUAGGGGGCCAUCCCGGCUUACCAACCCGAUGCAAACUGCGAAUACCGGAGAAUGUUAUCACGGGAGACACACGGCGGGUGCUAACGUCCGUCGUGAAGAGGGAAACAACCCAGACCGCCAGCUAAGGUCCCAAAGUCAUGGUUAAGUGGGAAACGAUGUGGGAAGGCCCAGACAGCCAGGAUGUUGGCUUAGAAGCAGCCAUCAUUUAAAGAAAGCGUAAUAGCUCACUGGUCGAGUCGGCCUGCGCGGAAGAUGUAACGGGGCUAAACCAUGCACCGAAGCUGCGGCAGCGACGCUUAUGCGUUGUUGGGUAGGGGNNNNNNCUGUAAGCCUGCGAAGGUGGCCUGUGAGGGUUGCUGGAGGUAUCAGAAGUGCGAAUGCUGACAUAAGUAACGAUAAAGCGGGUGAAAAGCCCGCUCGCCGGAAGACCAAGGGUUCCUGUCCAACGUUAAUCGGGGCAGGGUGAGUCGACCCCUAAGGCGAGGCCGAAAGGCGUAGUCGAUGGGAAACGGGUUAAUAUUCCCGUACUUGGUGUUACUGCGAAGGGGGGACGGAGAAGGCUAUGUUGGCCGGGCGACGGUUGUCCCGGUUUAAGCGUGUAGGUGUGUGUUCCAGGUAAAUCCGGUUCACUUUAACACUGAGGCGUGACGACGAGGCACUACGGUGCUGAAGCAACAAAUGCCCUGCUUCCAGGAAAAGCCUCUAAGCAUCAGGUAACAUCAAAUCGUACCCCAAACCGACACAGGUGGUCAGGUAGAGAAUACCAAGGCGCUUGAGAGAACUCGGGUGAAGGAACUAGGCAAAAUGGUGCCGUAACUUCGGGAGAAGGCACGCUGACACGUAGGUGAAGUGAUUUACUCAUGGAGCUGAAGUCAGUCGAAGAUACCAGCUGGCUGCAACUGUUUAUUAAAAACACAGCACUGUGCAAACACGAAAGUGGACGUAUACGGUGUGACGCCUGCCCGGUGCCGGAAGGUUAAUUGAUGGGGUCAGCGCAAGCGAAGCUCCUGAUCGAAGCCCCGGUAAACGGCGGCCGUAACUAUAACGGUCCUAAGGUAGCGAAAUUCCUUGUCGGGUAAGUUCCGACCUGCACGAAUGGCGUAAUGAUGGCCAGGCUGUCUCCACCCGAGACUCAGUGAAAUUGAACUCGCUGUGAAGAUGCAGUGUACCCGCGGCAAGACGGAAAGACCCCGUGAACCUUUACUAUAGCUUGACACUGAACAUUGAGCCUUGAUGUGUAGGAUAGGUGGGAGGCUUUGAAGUGUGGACGCCAGUCUGCAUGGAGCCGACCUUGAAAUACCACCCUUUAAUGUUUGAUGUUCUAACGUGGACCCGUUACCCGGGUUGCGGACAGUGUCUGGUGGGUAGUUUGACUGGGGCGGUCUCCUCCUAAAGAGUAACGGAGGAGCACGAAGGUUGGCUAAUCCUGGUCGGACAUCAGGAGGUUAGUGCAAUGGCAUAAGCCAGCUUGACUGCGAGCGUGACGGCGCGAGCAGGUGCGAAAGCAGGUCAUAGUGAUCCGGUGGUUCUGAAUGGAAGGGCCAUCGCUCAACGGAUAAAAGGUACUCCGGGGAUAACAGGCUGAUACCGCCCAAGAGUUCAUAUCGACGGCGGUGUUUGGCACCUCGAUGUCGGCUCAUCACAUCCUGGGGCUGAAGUAGGUCCCAAGGGUAUGGCUGUUCGCCAUUUAAAGUGGUACGCGAGCUGGGUUUAGAACGUCGUGAGACAGUUCGGUCCCUAUCUGCCGUGGGCGCUGGAGAACUGAGGGGGGCUGCUCCUAGUACGAGAGGACCGGAGUGGACGCAUCACUGGUGUUCGGGUUGUCAUGCCAAUGGCACUGCCCGGUAGCUAAAUGCGGAAGAGAUAAGUGCUGAAAGCAUCUAAGCACGAAACUUGCCCCGAGAUGAGUUCUCCCUGAGACUUAAAGUCUCCUGAAGGAACGUUGAAGACGACGACGUUGAUAGGCCGGGUGUGUAAGCGCAGCGAUGCGUUGAGCUAACCGGUACUAAUGAACCGUGAGGCUUAACCUUACAACGCCGAAG